Molecule: long non-coding RNA, 138 nt
Organism: Daphnia pulicaria
Lineage: Eukaryota; Metazoa; Arthropoda; Branchiopoda; Diplostraca; Daphniidae
Exons: 3
Source: RefSeq, a predicted model, not a curated record
AAGCGUCUGUAGUGUGGACUCGGCAUCAACAUAUCAAUAAUUUCACGUUUAGACAUUUCGUUCUCGACUCUUGUUAAGGAGAACAUAGACAGAAAAUUGUGAAAAUUCAUCAGAGUUUUGUGAACUGAUUAUAAUGGG